GACGAACGCUGGCGGCGUGCCUAACACAUGCAAGUCGAACGGGGUUACGAGAGCUUGCUCUUGUAACUUAGUGGCGAACGGGUGAGUAACGCGUGAGAAACCUGCCUCUCAGUGGGGGACAACAGUUGGAAACGACUGCUAAUACCGCAUAACACUUUAGUACCGCAUGGUACAGAAGUCAAAGCUUUAUGUGCUGAGAGAUGGUCUCGCGUCUGAUUAGCUAGAUGGCGGGGUAACGGCCCACCAUGGCGACGAUCAGUAGCCGGACUGAGAGGUUGACCGGCCACAUUGGGACUGAGAUACGGCCCAGACUCCUACGGGAGGCAGCAGUGGGGAAUAUUGGACAAUGGGGGAAACCCUGAUCCAGCGACGCCGCGUGAGUGAAGAAGUAUUUCGGUAUGUAAAGCUCUAUCAGCAGGAAAGAAGUUGACGGUACCUGACUAAGAAGCCCCGGNUAACUACGUG
Molecule: ribosomal RNA, 465 nt
Filed under: uncultured bacterium
Lineage: Bacteria
Description: bacterial SSU rRNA
Rfam family: Bacterial small subunit ribosomal RNA
Source: RNAcentral